RNAcentral lists this ribosomal RNA (301 nucleotides) under uncultured bacterium. RNAcentral describes it as "partial 16S ribosomal RNA". It matches the Rfam family "Bacterial small subunit ribosomal RNA", at positions 509 to 809 of the family's 1533-position model. The record is from RNAcentral.
CAGUCGCCACGGGAAUACGAAGGGGGCUAGCGUUGCUCGGAAUUACUGGGCGUAAAGGGAGCGUAGGCGGGUCGUUUAGUCAGAGGUGAAAUCCCGGGGCUCAACCUCGGAACUGCCUUUGAUACUGGCGACCUUGAGUAUGGGAGAGGUGAGUGGAACUCCGAGUGUAGAGGUGAAAUUCGUAGAUAUUCGGAAGAACACCAGUGGCGAAAGCGACUCACUGGCCCAUUACUGACGCUGAGGCUCGAAAGCGUGAGGAGCAAACAGGAUUAGAGACCCCCGUAGUCCCUGCCUCUUAUCU